Molecule: ribosomal RNA, 120 nt
Filed under: Penicillium flavigenum
Lineage: Eukaryota; Fungi; Ascomycota; Eurotiomycetes; Eurotiales; Aspergillaceae
Source: RNAcentral
ACAUACGACCAUAGGGUGUGGAAAACAGGGCUUCCCGUCCGCUCAGCCGUACUUAAACCACACGCCGGUGAGUUAGUAGUUGGGUGGGUGACCACCAGCGAAUCCUCACUGUUGUAUGUU